Molecule: ribosomal RNA, 446 nt
Filed under: Streptomyces sp. HVXM-11-10
Lineage: Bacteria; Bacillati; Actinomycetota; Actinomycetes; Kitasatosporales; Streptomycetaceae
Also listed under: 2 other names
Description: bacterial SSU rRNA
Rfam family: Bacterial small subunit ribosomal RNA
Source: RNAcentral
UGCAAGUCGAACGAUGAACCACUUCGGUGGGGAUUAGUGGCGAACGGGUGAGUAACACGUGGGCAAUCUGCCCUGCACUCUGGGACAAGCCCUGGAAACGGGGUCUAAUACCGGAUACUGAUCUACUUGGGCAUCCAAGUGGUUCGAAAGCUCCGGCGGUGCAGGAUGAGCCCGCGGCCUAUCAGCUUGUUGGUGAGGUAACGGCUCACCAAGGCGACGACGGGUAGCCGGCCUGAGAGGGCGACCGGCCACACUGGGACUGAGACACGGCCCAGACUCCUACGGGAGGCAGCAGUGGGGAAUAUUGCACAAUGGGCGAAAGCCUGAUGCAGCGACGCCGCGUGAGGGAUGACGGCCUUCGGGUUGUAAACCUCUUUCAGCAGGGAAGAAGCGAAAGUGACGGUACCUGCAGAAGAAGCGCCGGCUAACUACGUGCCAGCAGCCGG